RNAcentral lists this RNase P RNA (330 nucleotides) under Candidatus Woesearchaeota archaeon. RNAcentral's name for it is "RNase P RNA component". It matches the Rfam family "Archaeal RNase P". Rfam says of the family: Ribonuclease P (RNase P) is a ubiquitous endoribonuclease, found in archaea, bacteria and eukarya as well as chloroplasts and mitochondria. Its best characterised activity is the generation of mature 5'-ends of tRNAs by cleaving the 5'-leader elements of precursor-tRNAs. Cellular RNase Ps are ribonucleoproteins. The record is from RNAcentral. Lineage: Archaea; Nanobdellati; Candidatus Woesearchaeota.
GGGUUUGUACUUAGCUUCGGUUUUUGCAACUGAGGAAAGUCCGCCCACUCAAGCCUUAAAGGCUUGCUGACUAAUCAGAGCCACUCGCGGAAGCGAGCCCUAGCAAUAGGGGGCAACCACUCAGAAACGAGACCGCUGUAAUUAAGGAUGAAAUUUGUGAAGAUUCCUGCGAGGGAAUCGAGCUAACCAACUGACGUUUUUGCAGCAUGGGUGAAACGGUGAGCCCUGGCUGGUGCAAGUCUUAAAAGACGCUUAGUUUAAUGCUAAGGCAGGCUGUCGUGAUUUUCAUGUCACACUCGGGGCCUGACAAAAGGCGGCUUAUUCAAGCCC